RNAcentral lists this ribosomal RNA (224 nucleotides) under uncultured bacterium. RNAcentral's name for it is "partial 16S ribosomal RNA". It matches the Rfam family "Bacterial small subunit ribosomal RNA", at positions 15 to 235 of the family's 1533-position model. The record is from RNAcentral.
GAUCAUGGCUCAGGAUGAACGCUAGCGACAGGCUUAACACAUGCAAGUCGAGGGGCAGCACAGGUAGCAAUACCGGGUGGCGACCAGCGCACGGGUGAGUAACGCGUAUGCAACUUGCCUAUCAGAGGGGGAUAACCCGGCGAAAGUCGGACUAAUACAGCAUGAAGCAGGGGCCCCGCAUGGGGAUAUUUGCUAAAGAUUCAUCGCUGAUAGAUAGGCAUGCG